Molecule: ribosomal RNA, 139 nt
Filed under: uncultured eukaryote
Lineage: Eukaryota
Description: partial 18S ribosomal RNA
Rfam family: Eukaryotic small subunit ribosomal RNA
Source: RNAcentral
UGGUGGGUUGCCUUGUCAGGUUGAUUCCGGUAACGAACGAGACCUCAGCCUGCUAAAUAGCCACGCGGAAUCCGUUUCGUGGGAGGCUUCUUAGAGGGACUAUCGGGGCUUUACCCGGUGGAAGUGUGAGGCAAUAACA